Molecule: ribosomal RNA, 377 nt
Filed under: uncultured bacterium
Lineage: Bacteria
Description: bacterial SSU rRNA
Rfam family: Bacterial small subunit ribosomal RNA
Source: RNAcentral
UACGUAGGGUGCGAGCGUUGUCCGGAAUUAUUGGGCGUAAAGGGCUCGUAGGCGGUUUGUCGCGUCGGAAGUGAAAACACGGGGCUUAACUCUGUGCUGGCUUUCGAUACGGGCAGACUAGAGGGAUGCAGGGGAGAACGGAAUUCCUGGUGUAGCGGUGAAAUGCGCAGAUAUCAGGAGGAACACCGGUGGCGAAGGCGGUUCUCUGGGCAUUCCCUGACGCUGAGGAGCGAAAGUGUGGGGAGCGAACAGGAUUAGAUACCCUGGUAGUCCACACCGUAAACGUUGGGCGCUAGGUGUGGGAUCCAUUCCACGGGUUCCGUGCCGCAGCUAACGCAUUAAGCGUCCCGCCUGGGGAGUACGGCCGCAAGGCUAAA